Molecule: unclassified non-coding RNA, 186 nt
Filed under: uncultured Ceratobasidium
Lineage: Eukaryota; Fungi; Basidiomycota; Agaricomycetes; Cantharellales; Ceratobasidiaceae
Description: sequence contains ITS1
Source: RNAcentral
UUGAAUGAACUUAGAGUCGGUUGUCGCUGGCUGUCCGCAGCAUGUGCACGCCUUCUCUUUUCAUCCACACACACCCCCUGUGCACUUGUGAGACUGGAGACCGUAAAAAAGUCUUCAGUCUGCUAAAUUCAUAUACAAACUCAUUUAAUUGAACUGAAUGUAACUUGAUGUAACGCAUCAUUAAAC